UGGGGAAUAUUGGACAAUGGGCGCAAGCCUGAUCCAGCCAUGCCGCGUGAGUGAUGAAGGCCCUAGGGUUGUAAAGCUCUUUCACCGGUUAAGAUAAUGACGGUAACCGGAGAAGAAGCCCCGGCUAACUUCGUGCCAGCAGCCGCGGUAAUACGAAGGGGGCUAGCGUUGUUCGGAAUUACUGGGCGUAAAGCGCACGUAGGCGGAUCGAUCAGUUAGGGGUGAAAUCCCGGGGCUCAACCCCGGAACUGCCUCUAAUACUGUCGAUCUGGAGUUCGAGAGAGGUGAGUGGAAUUCCGAGUGUAGAGGUGAAAUUCGUAGAUAUUCGGAGGAACACCAGUGGCGAAGGCGGCUCACUGGCUCGAUACUGACGCUGAGGUGCGAAAGCGUGGGGAGCAAACA
RNAcentral lists this ribosomal RNA (402 nucleotides) under uncultured bacterium. RNAcentral's name for it is "bacterial SSU rRNA". It matches the Rfam family "Bacterial small subunit ribosomal RNA", at positions 355 to 774 of the family's 1533-position model. The record is from RNAcentral.